This 460-nucleotide ribosomal RNA is filed under the name uncultured bacterium. Its description in RNAcentral is "partial 16S ribosomal RNA". It matches the Rfam family "Bacterial small subunit ribosomal RNA", at positions 338 to 795 of the family's 1533-position model. The record is from RNAcentral.
CCUACGGGAGGCAGCAGUGAGGAAUAUUGGUCAAUGGGCGCGAGCCUGAACCAGCCAAGUAGCGUGAAGGAUGACUGCCCUACGGGUUGUAAACUUCUUUUAUAAAGGAAUAAAGUGAGGCACGUGUGCCUGUUUGUAUGUACUUUAUGAAUAAGGAUCGGCUAACUCCGUGCCAGCAGCCGCGGUAAUACGGAGGAUCCGAGCGUUAUCCGGAUUUAUUGGGUUUAAAGGGAGCGUAGAUGGGUUGUUAAGUCAGUUGUGAAAGUUUGCGGCUCAACCGUAAAAUUGCAAUUGAUACUGGCAGGCUUGAGUACAGUUGAGGUAGGCGGAAUUCGUGGUGUAGCGGUGAAAUGCUUAGAUAUCACAAAGAACCCCGAUUGCGAAGGCAGCUUACUAAGCUGUGACUGACAUUGAGGCUCGAAAGUGUGGGUAUCAAACAGGAUUAGAUACCCGAGUAGUC